This 1241-nucleotide ribosomal RNA is filed under the name metagenome. RNAcentral's name for it is "bacterial LSU rRNA". It matches the Rfam family "Bacterial large subunit ribosomal RNA", at positions 1564 to 2815 of the family's 2925-position model. The record is from RNAcentral.
UGAAUACGAGAUGCUACGGCAUUGAAGCAGUGUAUGUCAGACUUCCAAGAAAAGCUCGCAAUGUCAUAAACAAAAGAUGCCUGUACCAUAACCGACACAGGUGGGUAGGUAGAGUAUACUAAGGGGCGCGAGAUAACUCUCUCUAAGGAACUCGGCAAAAUGACUCCGUAACUUCGGGAGAAGGAGUGCCUUAUUUAUUAAGGUUGCAAUGACAAGAUCCAAGCAACUGUUUACCAAAAACACAGGUCUCCGCUAAGUCGUAAGACGAUGUAUGGGGGCUGACGCCUGCCCAGUGCCAGAAGGUUAAAGAAGUUGGUUAGCAUUGCGAAGCUGAUGACUGAAGCCCUGGUGAACGGCGGCCGUAACAAUAACGGUCCUAAGGUAGCGAAAUUCCUUGUCGGGUAAGUUCCGACCCGCACGAAAGGCGUAAUGAUUUGGAUACUGUCUCGGAGAGGGGCUCGGUGAAAUAGACUUGUCUGUGAAGAUGCGGACUACCUGCACCAGGACAGAAAGACCCUAUGAAGCUUUACUGUAACUUGGGAUUGAAAUUGGACUUUAUUUGCGCAGUAUAGGUGGGAGACGUUGAGAAUAUUCUUGCGGGAAUAUUGGAGUCAUCAGUGAGAUACCACUCUUGUAAUGUUAGAUUUCUAACUUUGUAUCAUUAUCUGGUCAAAGAACAGUCUCAGGCGGGCAGUUUGACUGGGGCGGUCGCCUCCCAAACGGUAACGGAGGCGCACAAAGGUUUCCUCUGAACGUGUAGAAAUCGUAUCUAGAGUGUAAAGGCAUAAGGAAGCUUGACUGUGAGACCUACAAGUCGAGCAGGGACGAAAGUCGGUCUUAGUGAUCUGACGGUGCUGAGUGGAAGGGCCGUCACUCAACGGAUAAAAGUUACUCUAGGAUAACAGGCUGAUCUCCCCCAAGAGUUCACAUCGACGGGGAGGUUUGGCACCUCGAUGUCGGCUCAUCGCAUCCUGGGGCGGUAGUACGUCCCAAGGGUUGGGCUGUUCGCCCAUGAAAGCGGUACGCGAGCUGGGUUCAGAACGUCGUGAGACAGUUCGGUCCAUAUCCGGUGUAGGCGUUAGAAUAUUGAGAGGAGCCUUCUUUAGUACGAGAGGACCGAGAAGGACAUACCUCUGGUGUACCAGUUAUCGUGCCAACGGUAAACGCUGGGUAGCUAUGUAUGGAGAGGAUAACCGCUGAAAGCAUCUAAGUGGGAAGCCCACCUCAAGAUAAGUAUUCUC